UGCAAGCGUUAUCCGGAAUCAUUGGGCGUAAAGCGCCUGUAGGUUGUUUAAUAAGUCCGUUGUUAAAGACUAGGGCUUAACCCUAGGAAAGCGAUGGAAACUGAUAGACUUGAGUAUGGCAGGGGUAGAGGGAAUUUCUAGUGUAGCGGUGAAAUGCGUAGAUAUUAGAAAGAACACCGGUGGCGAAAGCGCUCUACUGGACCAUUACUGACACUGAGAGGCGAAAGCUAGGGGAGCGAAAGGGAUUAGAUACCCCUGUAGUCCUAGCCGUAAACGAUGGAUACUAGAUGUUGUGCAAUUUGGACAGUAUCGUAGCUAACGCGUUAAGUAUCCCGCCUGGGGAGUACGCUCGCAAGGGUGAAACUCAAAGGAAUUGACGGGGGCCCGCACAAGCGGUGGAGCAUGUGGUUUAAUUCGAUGCAACGCGAAGAACCUUACCAGGGCUUGACAUACUACAGAUCUUUUUGAGAAAGAAGAGUGCCUUCGGGAAUGUAGAUACAGGUGGUGCAUGGCUGUCGUCAGCUCGUGUCGUGAGAUGUUGGGUUAAGUCCCGCAACGAGCGCAACCCUCGUUUUUAGUUGCCAAUUUAUUGGGAUCUCUAGAAAGACUGCCGGUGACAAACCGGAGGAAGGUGAGGAUGACGUCAAGUCAGCAUGCCCCUUAUGCCCUGGGCUACACACGUGCUACAAUGGCUAAGACAAAGGGUCGCGAGCUUGCAAGAGUCAGCUAAUCUCAUAAACUUAGCCUAAGUUCAGA
RNAcentral lists this ribosomal RNA (756 nucleotides) under uncultured marine haptophyte. RNAcentral's name for it is "bacterial SSU rRNA". It matches the Rfam family "Bacterial small subunit ribosomal RNA", at positions 533 to 1297 of the family's 1533-position model. The record is from RNAcentral. Lineage: Eukaryota; Haptophyta.